CCCAACGAGCUGCUUCGGACGAUAAGGUACAUCCUUGCGCGUUUUUCUCUCAUCGAUUAUCUCCUGCUGAACGUAAUUAUGACAUUGGCAAUAGAGAGUUGUUGGCCGUCAAAUUAGCGUUAGAGGAGUGGCGUCACUGGCUGGAAGGUUCAGGGGUACCUUUUAUUGUUUGGACCGAUCAUAAGAAUUUAGAGUACAUUAGAACUGCCAAAAGACUCAAUUCCAGGCAGGCUCGGUGGGCACUUUUUUUCGGUCGCUUUGAGUUUACUUUAUCGUACCGCCCGGGUUCCAAGAAUGUCAAGCCCGAUUCUUUAUCACGUCUUUUUGAUGAAUACAAUCAGCAGGUAGGCCCUUCUGGGAACUCCAAGAGGAGCUCUUAGAGGGGGGGUACUGUCACGGUUGGUAAACCGUGAUCUCUGGGUGUUUGCACUUUGUGGUGAAGUCUGUGUGUUUCGCGUCUGCACUGAUUAGUUUGUGGGCAUCUCCGUUAAUUGUCAUCGGCAGCAGCUGUCACUCAUUACUCAUUCCCUAUAUAUUGGCUUGUCUCAUGUCUUGUGUUUGUGAGAUUGUUGUUUUAUGUCGCUUACCCUGUUUGUUUGGCUUCAGUGUUGGAUGUUCGUGUUUUCCCGGAACCUCAUCCACUCUACGCACUUCCACUCAGCCACAAAUACUUACCUUCGGCUCUAUUCCCCGCAGUUCCUGUGCCAUCCUCUCCUGCUGCCUUCUCACCGAUAAUUACUUGACACGUCUGUGUGUGGUGGCUCUUGAUGCCUUGACCCCAGCCUCAGUCCAUUCCUUGUGA
Long non-coding RNA from Cyprinus carpio carpio, 802 nucleotides. NCBI's taxonomy places the organism in Eukaryota, Metazoa, Chordata, Actinopteri, Cypriniformes, Cyprinidae. The record is from Ensembl.